ACAGAGACAUACAGGUGAAUAUCUCUUCUGGAGGGGACAGAGACAUACAGGUGAAUAUCUCUUCUGGAGGGGACAGAGACAUACAGGUGAAUAUCUCUUCUGGAGGGGACAGAGACAUACAGGUGAAUAUCUCUUCUGGAGGGGACAGAGACAUACAGGUGAAUAUCUCUUCUGGAGGGGACAGAGACAUACAGGUGAAUAUCUCUUCUGGAGGGGACAGAGACAUACAGGUGAAUAUCUCUUCUGGAGGGGACAGAGACAUACAGGUGAAUAUCUCUUCUGGAGGGGACAGAGACAUACAGGUGAAUAUCUCUUCUGGAGGGGACAGAGACAUACAGGUGAAUAUCUCUUCUGGAGGGGACAGAGACAUACAGGUGAAUAUCUCUUCUGGAGGGGACAGAGACAUACAGGUGAAUAUCUCUUCUGGAGGGGACAGAGACAUACAGGUGAAUAUCUCUUCUGGAGGGGACAGAGACAUACAGGUGAAUAUCUCUUCUGGAGGGGACAGAGACAUACAGGUGAAUAUCUCUUCUGGAGGGGACAGAGACAUACAGGUGAAUAUCUCUUCUGGAGGGGACAGAGACAUACAGGUGAAUAUCUCUUCUGGAGGGGACAGAGACAUACAGGUGAAUAUAUCUUCUGGAGGGGACAGAGACAUACAGGUGAAUAUCUCUUCUGG
Oncorhynchus keta (chum salmon) is the source of this 679-nucleotide long non-coding RNA. RefSeq lists it as uncharacterized. The transcript has 4 exons. Lineage: Eukaryota; Metazoa; Chordata; Actinopteri; Salmoniformes; Salmonidae. The record is from RefSeq and is a predicted model, not a curated record.